This 3096-nucleotide long non-coding RNA is filed under the name Sus scrofa (pig). RNAcentral describes it as "lncRNA (ENSSSCG00035000198.1)". The record is from RNAcentral. Lineage: Eukaryota; Metazoa; Chordata; Mammalia; Artiodactyla; Suidae.
CAUGGGUCCCCCGUUCCUUCCUCAGAGCCUCUAUACUGGCUCCUCUCUCUACCUGGAAAGAUUUCCGCAUGGCAGGCUCCUUCUUUGUUCACGUCUCUUCCUGACCAACUGGACCUAGGUGGGGCUUUAUGACUGGUUUUAAAACACGGGCUGUGAGCCCAAGGAGCACGUGUUACUUCAUGCCCAAGGUGGUAAAUGACCCUCCAGCUCUCUCUGGGCUUAUGUGUUGACAUGGUGGCAUCAUAACAAUUUGUAGGACCUGCCAUCAGCUGAAGCCCACGAGUGACUAUGAGAAGCAGAGCCCCCUGAAAACCCAAGCUGAACACCUAGCGUGAGCAAAAAAUGUAUUUUCAUUGUAUUAAACCGCUGCAGUUCUGUGGUUAAUUUGUGGCCCCAGCAUAACCUAUCCUACUCUGACUAAUAUGACCCAUUUGAAUGGAGUAGAACCUAUUAUUAUCUCCCAUUACAAGCAAAAAAAAAAAAAAAAAAAAAAAAAAAAAAACCCUGAGGCUCAAAAGGUAAUGUUUUCCCUAAGAUCACACAGCUAGUAAGCAGAACUGAGAUUUGAACCCAGGUAGUGUGGCUCCUAAGACUGUAUUCUAACACCCAUGAUCAACUGCACCCAGAACACAGAGGGAUGCACUUAAACAUAACUAGUAGGUUACACCAAGGGAAGAAUGGUGGAAAUUACCAGCCCAAGGAAGUUGUUUUGGGGCAGUACACAGCAGGGGCUCAAUAAAUGCUAAAUGAAUGAGUGGAUCUUUUUAAGGAGUGGUGUAUUCAAUUUCCGUGGCUGGGCAACAAAGUACCACACAUGUAGGGGCUUACGAUAUCACCCAUUGAUUAUCUCCCAGCUUCUGUGGGUCAGGAGUCCGGAGAGGCCUAACUGGAUCUUCUGUUUUGUAUCAUAAAGCUACGAAGAAGGUAGCCUCUGGAGCUCGGGAUCCUCAGGUUGGAAGAAUCUAGUUCCUUGUCAUUUCACAGCUAAGCUCCCUUGUUCUUGCUGGUUGUCAGCCAGGGCUGCCCUCAGCUUCUAGAAGCCCCAUGCCAUGUGGCCUUCUCACAGGCCCUCCCCCAACAUGGCAAAACAUUUCUUCAAGACCAGCAAUGGGGAGAGUUUCUCCGGUCAGCUCCUCUGGUGUCUUAUAUAAUGUCCUGUAAUCAAGGCAGUAGCAGCAUCUUUACCAUAAAAGGUCACCUGAUCAAGGCUUGCCUUGUACAUCCCCUCAUAUGCCAGGUCCCGCGCAUGCUCCGGGGGUGGGGGUGGCACAGGGUGUUUUUCUCAGGUGGUGGAACACGCCAGGCUGAUUUGGAAUUCUGCCCACCACAAGCAGCGAACAAAGAGAAACUGUUAGAUGCUUUUUGGUCAGCCAGAUUCAUUGGCAGCUGUGGGAAAACGCAGAUUUAAUAGGUUAUAUAAAUGUAACCUCGAGGAAGAAGAAGGGAGGCCUGAGAGAGCACACAGAUGACACCUGCCCAUGCGUUAGCAACAUGGCAAUGUUGUGUGGGCUACUUGGGGUGAAUGGAGUUGGUGAUUUCAAGCUAUGAAACACUCAUCUUUAAAUCAAUUUUAUAGAGGAAUAAUGUAUGCAUAAUAAACAGCAUCUAUUUCAGGUGUGCAUUUUGCUAAGCUUUGACAAUUGUUCUGAAAGUACUGCUACCAAAACAGAGCAAAGCGUUUUGCAUUACUCCCAAAAGACCCCGUCAUACCCCUUUGCCAUCCGUACUUCUCUCCACACCCCCAGUUCCCACCCCAGGAAGCCCGUCCCACACCCCUUUCACUCUCCUUUUCAUUGUAGAAAGGCAGUAGCGGGGAGCGGUUGAAGGCCCCAUAGCCGAGCCAGGAGGCUUGGUUUGAGUCCUCCCUUGAACUCUUCCUGGCUGUGUGACCUUGACCAGCUGACCAAUUUCUCUCUGCUUCUGUUUUAUUAUCUCAGCAUAGGAUAGUCCCUCUCUCAAAAGAGUCGCUGUGAGAACCAAUUUGGUUGAUAUAGGAGAAGCAUAAAUAGUGCUUGGCCCAUCACGAGCGCUCAAUACAUGUUUACCGUGUUUCGUUCCUUGUGAUCGUCAGCCUGGCUUCCUUCAGUUAAAGCGCUGCUUGUAAAGACGGCUAAUGGAAGCUCCUCAUGCGCAUUCAAGUGUGUGCGUGCCUCUGCCCAGGGCACGCUUCCCCCGAGUAUCUGUGCUCUAGCUUCCUCCUGUCCUCUUCCUCUUUUCUCCAAUCUCAACCUCUCCCUGAGAACCCCGACCACCUUAGCUGACUCCACACACUGCCCCACCCCGCUUCCCCCCUGCUGUGCUUUUUAAAAAUUGAGGUCUAGUUGCUGUAUACUGCUGUGUUAGGUUCUAGUACACAGCAAAGUGACUCACGUGCACAUGUGCGUGUAUCUUUUUCAGCUGCUUUUCCCUGCUCGGUUAUUACAAGAUACUGAAGACGGUUCCCUGUGCGACACAGGAAGUCCUUGUUGUUCAUCUGUUUUUUACAUCGUAGCUGGUUCUUGCUAAUCCCUGAUUUAUCCCUCCCUUUCCCCUUUGGUAACCGUGAGUUUGUUUUCUAUGUCUGAGAGUCUGUUUCUGUUGCAAACGUAAGUUCAUUCGUGUUCUAUUUGAGAUUCCACGCAUAAGUUACCAUUUGUCUUUCUGACUUACUUCACUGAGGAUGGUAACAGCAAGGUCCGCCCAUGUUGCUGCAAAUGGCAUUAUGUCAUUCUUUUUAUGGCUGUGUAACAUUCCAAUGUAAAUAUUUACCACAUCCUUUAUCCAUUCCUCUGUGGAUGGACGUUUAAGUUGUUUCCAUGUUUCAGCUGCUGUAAAUAGGGUUGCCAUGAACCCUGGGGUGCAUGUAUCUUUGCAAAUUAGAGUUUCCUCUGGCUGUAUGGCCAGGAGUGGGAUGGCUGGGUCAUACGGUAGUUCUAUUUUUACUUUUUUGAGGAACAUCCAUACUGUUCUCCAUAGUGGCUACACCAGUUUGCAUUCCCAUCAACAGUGUAGGAGGAUGCCCUUUUCUUUCUUUCUUUCUUUCUUUCUUUCUUUCUUUCAAAAUCAUCAUUUUAGAAUUAAUUUCUUUUUUUUGCUUUUUAGGGCCGCACCCCUGGC